Molecule: ribosomal RNA, 431 nt
Filed under: uncultured bacterium
Lineage: Bacteria
Description: bacterial SSU rRNA
Rfam family: Bacterial small subunit ribosomal RNA
Source: RNAcentral
GGGCCCGCACAAGCGGUGGAGUAUGUGGUUUAAUUCGAUGCAACGCGAAGAACCUUACCAGGGUUUGACAUCCUGCGAAUUUCUGGGAAACCGGAAAGUGCCUUCGGGAGCGCAGUGACAGGUGGUGCAUGGCUGUCGUCAGCUCGUGUCGUGAGAUGUUGGGUUAAGUCCCGCAACGAGCGCAACCCACGUCUUUAGUUGCCAGCAUUUAGUUGGGCACUCUAGAGAGACCGCCGGUGAUAAACCGGAGGAAGGUGUGGAUGACGUCAAGUCAUCAUGCCCCUUACAUCCUGGGCUACACACGUACUACAAUGCUACGGACAAAGGGCAGCAAACUCGCGAGAGCUAGCAAAUCCCAUAAACCGUGGCUCAGUUCAGAUCGUAGGCUGCAACUCGCCUACGUGAAGGAGGAAUCGCUAGUAAUCGCAGGU